Molecule: ribosomal RNA, 1189 nt
Filed under: Micrococcus luteus
Lineage: Bacteria; Bacillati; Actinomycetota; Actinomycetes; Micrococcales; Micrococcaceae
Description: bacterial SSU rRNA
Rfam family: Bacterial small subunit ribosomal RNA
Source: RNAcentral
AAACUGGGUCUAAUACCGGAUAGGAGCGCCCACCGCAUGGUGGGUGUUGGAAAGAUUUAUCGGUUUUGGAUGGACUCGCGGCCUAUCAGCUUGUUGGUGAGGUAAUGGCUCACCAAGGCGACGACGGGUAGCCGGCCUGAGAGGGUGACCGGCCACACUGGGACUGAGACACGGCCCAGACUCCUACGGGAGGCAGCAGUGGGGAAUAUUGCACAAUGGGCGCAAGCCUGAUGCAGCGACGCCGCGUGAGGGAUGACGGCCUUCGGGUUGUAAACCUCUUUCAGUAGGGAAGAAGCGAAAGUGACGGUACCUGCAGAAGAAGCACCGGCUAACUACGUGCCAGCAGCCGCGGUAAUACGUAGGGUGCGAGCGUUAUCCGGAAUUAUUGGGCGUAAAGAGCUCGUAGGCGGUUUGUCGCGUCUGUCGUGAAAGUCCGGGGCUUAACCCCGGAUCUGCGGUGGGUACGGGUAGACUAGAGUGCAGUAGGGGAGACUGGAAUUCCUGGUGUAGCGGUGGAAUGCGCAGAUAUCAGGAGGAACACCGAUGGCGAAGGCAGGUCUCUGGGCUGUAACUGACGCUGAGGAGCGAAAGCAUGGGGAGCGAACAGGAUUAGAUACCCUGGUAGUCCAUGCCGUAAACGUUGGGCACUAGGUGUGGGGACCAUUCCACGGUUUCCGCGCCGCAGCUAACGCAUUAAGUGCCCCGCCUGGGGAGUACGGCCGCAAGGCUAAAACUCAAAGGAAUUGACGGGGGCCCGCACAAGCGGCGGAGCAUGCGGAUUAAUUCGAUGCAACGCGAAGAACCUUACCAAGGCUUGACAUGUUCUCGAUCGCCGUAGAGAUACGGUUUCCCCUUUGGGGCGGGUUCACAGGUGGUGCAUGGUUGUCGUCAGCUCGUGUCGUGAGAUGUUGGGUUAAGUCCCGCAACGAGCGCAACCCUCGUUCCAUGUUGCCAGCACGUAGUGGUGGGGACUCAUGGGAGACUGCCGGGGUCAACUCGGAGGAAGGUGAGGACGACGUCAAAUCAUCAUGCCCCUUAUGUCUUGGGCUUCACGCAUGCUACAAUGGCCGGUACAAUGGGUUGCGAUACUGUGAGGUGGAGCUAAUCCCAAAAAGCCGGUCUCAGUUCGGAUUGGGGUCUGCAACUCGACCCCAUGAAGUCGGAGUCGCUAGUAAUCGCAGAUCAGCAA